CGCCCACGUGUCGGCAUGCAGAGCGUGGGGCUGGGAGGCUGGAGGAGGCAGCCGAGCAGCCUCUGUGUUACUGCUGCCAAUGCCCAGAAGGGCCCAGGUCACCGACUGACUGGACGCCGCGUCCACUGGGCGGUAGAUCUCCAGUUCCUGAGCGAAGGGCGAAGAAGGAUGGCGGGGAUCUUAGUCUGUCAACCAGAAAACUGAGUCACAAGAUGCCUGAGAAGAUGCGUCUGACGAAGACAUGCAGGGCUGGUCCGAGACCGUUUCCCAAUUCCCACUAAACUGGAAAAUCCAGCAUAAGCGGGAGUGUGCAAGACGCCUGGAGCCUUGGCGGAGAGGAAGAGACAGCAGCAGGCAGCGGCCACGGAGCAGAAAGAAUCUCUCCUGGAAGCGGUUUCCCAGCAAGCGUGGUGGUUCCUCCCGACAACGUAACAGCCCCACUCGUGGACUCUCCCUCCGGAUACCUGGGAACAAAGGGAUAG
Erinaceus europaeus (western European hedgehog) is the source of this 482-nucleotide long non-coding RNA. RefSeq lists it as uncharacterized. The transcript has 3 exons. The record is from RefSeq and is a predicted model, not a curated record. Lineage: Eukaryota; Metazoa; Chordata; Mammalia; Eulipotyphla; Erinaceidae.